Molecule: transfer RNA, 65 nt
Filed under: Longitarsus ibericus
Lineage: Eukaryota; Metazoa; Arthropoda; Insecta; Coleoptera; Chrysomelidae
Description: tRNA-Ala
Source: RNAcentral
AGGAUAAUAGUUAAAUAUAACAUUUAAUUUGCAUUUAAAAAGUAUUGACUACUCAAUUUAUCUUA